AAGGAUGGAACGCACCAGCUGAAAAUAGUCUCGACAACAUCCAAAAAUUUCCCAGUGGUAGAUUCUCCGGUAUCUUCCUCAAUCACUCCCCACCCUCCGCAGCCUCCUGCGGCGGCGAUUUACCUCUUCCCACCCCCUCUCCGUCUCUUUCCGUAUCUGCUCAAUACUUCAUCAUGCCGGCGAUGCAGACUCUUUUCCUUCAAUGCUCUUCAUCCAUCUCACCUCUCUCGACUUCUCUGUCUUCUUCAUUUUCCACUUCAGCUACUGCUAAUGCCUGCAAAUCUUCAAUUAAAUUUACCGUCAUGUGCUGCUCCCAGGCGUCGCCGGUUACCGUGGUAAACGGAAACGUCGAAAGGCGAUCUGCUGAACGGAGUGAGGUUCGCCUUGGCUUGCCUAGCAAAGGUCGAAUGGCCACCGAUACUCUCGAUCUUCUCAAGGACUGCCAACUGUCAGUGAGGCAAGUGAAUCCAAGGCAGUACGUUGCCGAGAUUCCUCAGCUCCAAAAUUUAGAAGUUUGGUUUCAACGGCCAAAAGAUGUUGUGCGGAAGUUGGUUUCUGGGGAUCUAGACCUUGGUAUUGUUGGUCUGGACACAGUUUAUGAAUAUGGACAGGGGAAUGAAGAUCUCAUUAUUGUUCAUGAUGCUCUUGAGUAUGGUGAUUGUCGAUUAUCUCUGGCUAUUCCAAAGUAUGGAAUUUUUGAGAAUAUAAACUCAUUGAAGGAGCUAGCAGAAAUGCCACAUUGGACACCUGAGAGACCCUUGAGAGUAGCUACAGGAUUCACAUAUAUGGGACCUAAGUUUAUGAAUGACAAUGGAUUGAAGCAUGUUACCUUUUCAACUGCGGAUGGAGCACUGGAGGCAGCUCCAGCAAUGGGGAUAGCUGAUGCAAUUGUGGACCUUGUGAGUAGUGGAACAACAUUGAGAGAGAACAAUCUGAAAGAGAUUGCAGGUGGAGUCAUCUUACAAAGUCAGGCUGUCCUUGUUGCUAGCAGGAAAUCAUUGACUCAGCGUAAGGGUGCACUAGAUAUAACACAUGAAAUGCUUGAAAGGCUGGAGGCACAUUUACGGGCUACUGGUCAAUUCACGGUAGUAGCCAACAUGAGGGGAAGCUCUGCAGAGGAAGUGGCUGAGCGUGUAUUGAGCCAACCUUCAUUAUCAGGGUUGCAGGGACCUACAGUAAGUCCGGUGUUUUGCAAACGGGAUGGUCGAGUAACGGCAGAUUACUAUGCAAUUGUCAUAUGCGUACAGAAAAAUGCAUUGUACAAGUCUGUGCAGCAGCUGAGGGCGAUUGGAGGCAGUGGUGUUCUGAUUUCCCCAUUGACCUACAUUUUUGACGAAGAAACCCCUAGAUGGCGUCAGCUUCUCUCCACUUUGGGCCUUUAAGUGUUUCAUUAUGUGCUCUGAAAGGUUUUCUGCAUUAUCAAGUGCAUUAUAAGAGCCGCCCGAAUACCCCAAUAUUCAUGUCUCGAAUGGAUGCACCUACAUAGGAACAACUUUAGGAGCUGGAUUCUUUUGGUACCCGUUUGCUGUAUUUUUAUCGGUUUGCUUAUCUAUUUGCAACAAGUUUUCAGGCCAACUUUGGGCUUUAAGUUGAUAGCCACUUCUUUAAGUUAUAAGUUAUUUCUUCAAGACUUCCAGUAGCUUAUAGUUUCACUUGAAAGAACUGUUAGAUUCAUUGUUGCUUGUGUUGCAUACUUGCACCUCAGUAGUCACUCCACUUCUAUCUACCA
Molecule: RNA transcript, 1729 nt
Organism: Ipomoea nil (Japanese morning glory)
Lineage: Eukaryota; Viridiplantae; Streptophyta; Magnoliopsida; Solanales; Convolvulaceae
Gene name: ATP phosphoribosyltransferase 2, chloroplastic
Exons: 12
Source: RefSeq, a predicted model, not a curated record